UUGCGUUGGCGCCCUCCUUUAAGGCGAGGCACAGGGCACUCGGAGGGACCGCCUCUAGGGCGGCUCCUACCCUCCGCCCCGCUUGCACCCACCCGUCCCACCCCUCGCAGUUUGCCCCAGGGGCAGGGACUCUGACCUCAGGCUCUCGGGAUGCGACCUGGGCAGUCCCUGGCCUUCGCUCUCUUAACGAGUCGCGUGGGCUGACAUAAAAGGCGCGAGAGGGCUUUUCUCCAUCUCCAGUAAGGAUAGAGCCCCUCUGCAGCUACCGAUUUGGGAAAUACCUGAGGUUUUUUCCACUUGCACAUAAAGGCUGUUCUAGCCCUGAAGCUGGCUAGUAACGACGCUGUAGUCCCAGCUACUCCGGAGGCUGAGAGUCAGGAGGAUCACGUGACAGCUAGGCUUUAUAAGGAAGUAAAAACAACUGGUGAAGAGAAGAACCAUUUAUUUUCAAUACUGAAGACGAAGUUUCGCUCAUUGUUGCUGAGGCUGGACUACAAACAGCUCACUGCGCUGCCCGGCCCAAAACCAAGUAAUGUACUGCAUGGGCCGGGAAUUGAACCCAGACCUCCCGCGUGGGAAGCGAGAAUUCUACCACUGAACCACCCAUGCACCAACAGAAGUAUUGAGGAAAAGCAAUAACAUCAUCGGAACGCGACUAGAAGAUGCUCUUUGUAGCUAGAAAGAUAAUAGAUAACGGAGAAAGAAGAUGAUAAUAUUUUGGUCACUUGGCUGGGCAUGGUGGCUCAUGCCUGUAAUCUCAGCACUUUGGGAGGCCGAGUGGGGAGGAUUGCUUGAGCCCAGGA
Long non-coding RNA from Chlorocebus sabaeus (green monkey), 803 nucleotides. RefSeq lists it as uncharacterized. The record is from RefSeq and is a predicted model, not a curated record. NCBI's taxonomy places the organism in Eukaryota, Metazoa, Chordata, Mammalia, Primates, Cercopithecidae.